RNAcentral lists this ribosomal RNA (500 nucleotides) under uncultured bacterium. RNAcentral describes it as "bacterial SSU rRNA". It matches the Rfam family "Bacterial small subunit ribosomal RNA", at positions 57 to 603 of the family's 1533-position model. The record is from RNAcentral.
GCAAGUCGAGCGCCGUAGCAAUACGGAGCGGCAGACGGGAGAGUAACACGUGGGAACGUGCCCUUUGGUUCGGAACAACCCAGGGAAACUUGGGCUAAUACCGGAUAAGCCCUUACGGGGAAAGAUUUAUCGCCGAAGGAUCGGCCCGCGUCUGAUUAGCUAGUUGGUGGGGUAAUGGCCCACCAAGGCGACGAUCAGUAGCUGGUCUGAGAGGAUGAUCAGCCUCACUGGGACUGAGACACGGCCCAGACUCCUACGGGAGGCAGCAGUGGGGAAUAUUGGACAAUGGGCGCAAGCCUGAUCCAGCCAUGCCGCGUGGGUGAUGAAGGCCCUAGGGUUGUAAAGCCCUUUCGGCGGGGAAGAUAAUGACGGUACCCGCAGAAGAAGCCCCGGCUAACUUCGUGCCAGCAGCCGCGGUAAUACGAAGGGGGCUAGCGUUGCUCGGAAUCACUGGGCGUAAAGCGCACGUAGGCGGAUUGCUAAGUCAGGGGUGAAAUCCU